This 433-nucleotide ribosomal RNA is filed under the name uncultured bacterium. Its description in RNAcentral is "partial 16S ribosomal RNA". It matches the Rfam family "Bacterial small subunit ribosomal RNA", at positions 29 to 507 of the family's 1533-position model. The record is from RNAcentral.
AACGAACGCUGGCGGCAGGCCUAACACAUGCAAGUCGAGCGAGCAUUUCGGUGCUAGCGGCGGACGGGUGAGUAACGCGUGGGAACGUGCCCUUUUCUGCGGAAUAGUCCUGGGAAACUGGGGGUAAUACCGCAUACGCCCUUUUGUGGAAAGAUUUAUCGGAGAAGGAUCGGCCCGCGUUGGAUUAGGUAGUUGGUGGGGUAAUGGCCCACCAAGCCGACGAUCCAUAGCUGGUUUGAGAGGAUGAUCAGCCACACUGGGACUGAGACACGGCCCAGACUCCUACGGGAGGCAGCAGUGGGGAAUCUUAGACAAUGGGGGCAACCCUGAUCCAGCCAUGCCGCGUGAGUGAUGAAGGCCUUAGGGUUGUAAAGCUCUUUCAGCUGGGAAGAUAAUGACGGUACCAGCAGAAGAAGCCCCGGCUAACUCCGUG